Homo sapiens (human) is the source of this 687-nucleotide long non-coding RNA. Ensembl annotates it as long intergenic non-protein coding RNA 339. The record is from Ensembl. NCBI's taxonomy places the organism in Eukaryota, Metazoa, Chordata, Mammalia, Primates, Hominidae.
GGUUCCCGCGCGGCGCUCCAAAGCUCGGGGAGUGGUGGUCUCCCUUUCCUGGAGUCAUUUGUGGGAGUUAGGGUCUUAUCCUGAUCUUUCCUCGUCCCCCGCUCCCCCGUCCUCCGAGGUGGCAGCUGCAUCGGGGGUCAUACUACACAUCGAUCGGGACCUUAGUCAUGUUGUGAUAUGGACAGCUUUCUUACCAGUACUCAUAAGCCUGCUUCAUUUUUUACGUGGCGGCACCACUGAGUGGUUGACGGUUAGUAACAGCUUACUUUGGGGGAUGAGCACACCUUAUUAACUGAGCAAAAACCAAGAUAAUGUGAGAAGAAUUGGUGUACUCCCAAGAAUAUCCAAGAAGUCUGGAACGUUUUUUCUUAGAGUUCCAGAAUUGAGACUGAAGUGUACCCAGAGACACAAAGAAAUACAGAAGUCCAGAAUGAUCAAAUGAGAUCACUACCCAAUGAAAUGAUGGGCCGAGGAGCCAGAAGUUGUCCUACUACCUGCUUUCCAGGUCCAGAUUCCACGAGAGCCUUCUGGGCUCCCACCAGAGACCCUCAGUGAAGACUCUGUUGAAGACUUUAAGACCAUGCUAGAAAGCCUCCCGGCAGAGGUUCAGGAAGUUCUGCUAUGAGGAUGCAGCUGGCCCCAGGGAUGUCCUCAGGCAUCUCUAGGACCUUGCUGGACGGUGGUGGC